UCAAAGGUGGUUUCRGCCRUCACUUUGGGAUGGGCCCGCGGUGCMUUAGCUWKUUGGUAAGGUAACGGCUUACCAAGGCGAUGAUGCAUAGCCKAGUUGAGAGACUGAUCGGCCACAAUGGAACUGAGACACGGUCCAUACUCCUACGGGAGGCAGCAGUAGGGAAUCUUCCACAAUGGGCGCAAGCCUGAUGGAGCGACACCGCGUGAGUGAAGAAGGGUUUCGGCUCGUAAAGCUCUGUUGUUGAAGAAGAACGUACCUGAGAGGAAAUGUUCAGGUAGUGACGGUAUUCAACCAGAAAGUCACGGCUAACUACGUGCCAGCAGCCGCGGUAAUACGUAGGUGGCAAGCGUUAUCCGGAUUUAUUGGGCGUAAAGCGAGCGCAGGCGGUUUGUUAAGUCUGAUGUGAAAGCCUUCGGCUCAACCGAAGAAGUGCAUCGGAAACUGGCGAACUUGAGUGCAGAAGAGGGCAGUGGAACUCCAUGUGUAGCGGUGGAAUGCGUAGAUAUAUGGAAGAACACCAGUGGCGAAGGCGGCUGCCUAGUCUGCAACUGACGCUGAGACUCGAAAGCAUGGGUAGCGAACAGGAUUAGAUACCCUGGUAGUCCAUGCCGUAAACGAUGAGUGCUAGGUGUUGGAGGGUUUCCGCCCUUCAGUGCCGCAGCUAACGCAAUAAGCACUCCGCCUGGGGAGUACGACCGCAAGGUUGAAACUCAAAGGAAUUGACGGGGGCCCGCACAAGCGGUGGAGCAUGUGGUUUAAUUCGAAGCUACGCGAAGAACCUUACCAGGUCUUGACAUCUUGCGCUAACCUAACAGAUUARGCGUUCCCUUCGCGGACGCAAUGACAGGUGGUGCAKGGUCGUCGUCACCUCCUGUCCUGAGAUGUUGGGUUAANCCCGCAACGAGCGCACCCUUGUUACUAGUUGCCANCAUUCRUUUGG
This 943-nucleotide ribosomal RNA is filed under the name Limosilactobacillus sp. RNAcentral's name for it is "bacterial SSU rRNA". The record is from RNAcentral. Lineage: Bacteria; Bacillati; Bacillota; Bacilli; Lactobacillales; Lactobacillaceae.